RNAcentral lists this ribosomal RNA (247 nucleotides) under uncultured bacterium. RNAcentral's name for it is "partial 16S ribosomal RNA". It matches the Rfam family "Bacterial small subunit ribosomal RNA", at positions 523 to 769 of the family's 1533-position model. The record is from RNAcentral.
AUACGGAGGAUCCAAGCGUUAUCCGGAUUUAUUGGGUUUAAAGGGAGCGCAGGCGGUUCUUCAAGUCAGCUGUGAAAACGCGGGGCUCAACCUCGCGCCUGCAGUUGAUACUGUUGAACUUGAGUGCACACAGGGAUGUUGGAAUUCAUGGUGUAGCGGUGAAAUGCUUAGAUAUCAUGAAGAACUCCGAUCGCGAAGGCAUAUGUCCGGUGUGUUACUGACGCUGAGGCUCGAAAGCGCGGGUAUC